AGGGUUCGAUUCUGGCUCAGGAUGAACGCUAGCGACAGGCUUAACACAUGCAAGUCGAGGGGCAGCAUAAAAGUAGCAAUACUUGGUGGCGACCGGCGCACGGGUGAGUAACGCGUAUGCAACCUACCUAUCAGAGGGGAAUAACCCGGCGAAAGUCGGACUAAUACCGCAUAAAACAGGGGCACCGCAUGGUGAUAUUUGUUAAAGAAAUUCGCUGAUAGAUGGGCAUGCGUUCCAUUAGGUAGUUGGUGAGGUAACGGCUCACCAAGCCGACGAUGGAUAGGGGAACUGAGAGGUUGGUCCCCCACACUGGUACUGAGACACGGACCAGACUCCUACGGGAGGCAGCAGUGAGGAAUAUUGGUCAAUGGGCGGGAGCCUGAACCAGCCAAGUCGCGUGAAAGGAAGAAGGGUCUAUGGUUCGUAAACUUCUUUUGCAGGGGAAUAAAGUGCAGGACGUGUCCUGUUUUGUAUGUACCCUGAGAAUAAGGAUCGGCUAACUCCGUGCCAGCAGCAGC
RNAcentral lists this ribosomal RNA (518 nucleotides) under uncultured bacterium. Its description in RNAcentral is "bacterial SSU rRNA". It matches the Rfam family "Bacterial small subunit ribosomal RNA", at positions 8 to 518 of the family's 1533-position model. The record is from RNAcentral.